AGGUGGGGAGAUGGGAGGGGGUUACAUGGCAAGGGCAGCUAAGGGAAUGGUAGAUGGUAGGCAACUGAGGGGAGGGGGCAGGCCGAGGGGGCGCAGAAGCAGUCCCCCAACAGGCUUGGGGGUCCAGGAGUUGCACACAGCAAUGAGUUCACCUGCUAUGAUCAGUGGUCACGUUUCCAAAGCCCGCGCCCGCGACGCGGUGCUGGGCAUGCCUGAAACUCCCCUCCACUGUAUUCGGCAACGACUUUGCCUGAAGUCUUGCUUGUACCGCUUUUCCAACCCUCCCUCGCCUCCCUUUCUCGCCUCCCUCCCUCGCCUUCCUCGCCUCCCUUUCUCGCCUCCCUCCCUCGCCUCCCUCCCUCGCCUCCCUCCCUCGCCUCCCUCCCGUUUCUCCCUCCCGUUCCUUCUUCCCGCGUUGGGAGUAGGUCGUGAGCCAGCCGGGGCCGGGCGGCGCGGUGGGUCUGGUGCAG
Molecule: long non-coding RNA, 470 nt
Filed under: Chlamydomonas reinhardtii
Lineage: Eukaryota; Viridiplantae; Chlorophyta; Chlorophyceae; Chlamydomonadales; Chlamydomonadaceae
Description: long non-coding RNA (CREI_LNC000612)
Source: RNAcentral